This 259-nucleotide long non-coding RNA is filed under the name Lathyrus oleraceus (garden pea). RNAcentral's name for it is "Pisum sativum (pea) long non-coding RNA (PSAT_LNC032351)". Lineage: Eukaryota; Viridiplantae; Streptophyta; Magnoliopsida; Fabales; Fabaceae. The record is from RNAcentral.
UUGUGUUCCAAAAACUUGAAUGGAUUAUUCACUAAGAAACUGCCCAAAUGUGCCUUACAUUACAUAACAAUAUGAAUCAACAUUCACCUUUAAUCUACAUUAUAAAUUAAAUGCUAAAAAAUAUGGCACAAGCUAGCACAAAUGUUGAUCCACAAUAUAUACAGCAAAUGAAUGCAUUACAAUAAACCAAUCACACAUUUGUCUAAUACAACAAGGCUUCAAUCUUUCUUGAGGCCUAAGGAACCUUCCCAAAGUUUAU